GGCCCGGCUCCCGAAUAGUCCCCGGAUGGGAGCGCGUUCCUGUCCAGGCGGCAGGAUAGGGGCCGGGUCGCCU
RNAcentral lists this non-coding RNA (73 nucleotides) under unclassified sequences. RNAcentral's name for it is "DUF3800-IX RNA". It matches the Rfam family "DUF3800-IX RNA". Rfam says of the family: Actinobacteria, Firmicutes (1 example), Nitrospirae, Proteobacteria, Verrucomicrobia (1 example). Nearby to DUF3800 The record is from Rfam by way of RNAcentral.